Molecule: ribosomal RNA, 320 nt
Filed under: uncultured soil bacterium
Lineage: Bacteria
Description: bacterial SSU rRNA
Rfam family: Bacterial small subunit ribosomal RNA
Source: RNAcentral
AGAACGAACGCUGGCGGCAUGCCUAAUACAUGCAAGUCGAACGAACACUUCGGUGUUAGUGGCGCACGGGUGCGUAACGCGUGGGAAUCUGCCCUUGGGUUCGGAAUAACAGUUGGAAACGACUGCUAAUACCGGAUGAUAUCGAAAGAUCAAAGAUUUAUCGCCCAGGGAUGAGCCCGCGUAGGAUUAGCUAGUUGGUGAGGUAAAGGCUCACCAAGGCGACGAUCCUUAGCUGGUCUGAGAGGAUGAUCAGCCACACGUGGGACUGGGACCACGGCCCAGACUCCGACGGGAGGCAGCGAGGUAGGGAAUAGUAGGAC